Molecule: ribosomal RNA, 650 nt
Filed under: Micrococcus luteus
Lineage: Bacteria; Bacillati; Actinomycetota; Actinomycetes; Micrococcales; Micrococcaceae
Description: bacterial LSU rRNA
Rfam family: Bacterial large subunit ribosomal RNA
Source: RNAcentral
CGGGUCAGGGACAGUGCCUGAUGGGGAGUUUAACUGGGGCGGUUGCCUCCCAAAAAUGUAACGGAGGCGCCCAAAGGUUCCCUCAGCCUGGUUGGCAAUCAGGUGUCGAGUGCAAGUGCACAAGGGAGCUUGACUGUGAGAGUGGCAGCUCGAGCAGGGACGAAAGUCGGGACUAGUGAUCCGGCGGCUCGUUGUGGAACGGCCGUCGCUCAACGGAUAAAAGGUACCUCGGGGAUAACAGGCUGAUCUUGCCCAAGAGUCCAUAUCGACGGCAUGGUUUGGCACCUCGAUGUCGGCUCGUCGCAUCCUGGGGCUGGAGUAGGUCCCAAGGGUUGGGCUGUUCGCCCAUUAAAGCGGUACGCGAGCUGGGUUCAGAACGUCGUGAGACAGUUCGGUCCCUAUCCUCUGCGCGCGUGGAAAAUUUUGAGAAGGUCUGUCCUUAGUACGAGAGGACCGGGGACGGACGAACCUCUGGUAUGUCAGUUGUACCGCCAGGUGCAUGGCUGAUUGCUACGUUCGGGAUGGAUAACCGCUGAAAGCAUCUAAGCGGGAAGCCGGCUUCGAGAUGAGAUUUCCUUGCCCCCUUUGAGGGUGUGAGGCCCCCAGCUAGAACACUGGGUUGAUAGGCUGGAUGUGGAAGCGAGGACUGA